This 255-nucleotide unclassified non-coding RNA is filed under the name Glomus sp. RNAcentral's name for it is "partial contains 5.8S ribosomal RNA and internal transcribed spacer 2". The stretch from base 1 to 65 matches the Rfam family "5.8S ribosomal RNA", at positions 84 to 154 of the family's 154-position model. Lineage: Eukaryota; Fungi; Glomeromycota; Glomeromycetes; Glomerales; Glomeraceae. The record is from RNAcentral.
GUGAAUCAUCAAAUUUUUGAACGCAAAUUGCACUCUCUUCGGAGAGUAUGCGUGUUUGAGUGUCAGGCUAAAAAAAAUCGACAUAGUUGCUGUCAGGCGGUAAUAUUCGUCGGAAAUUGGGUCAUCUUAAACUUUUGGGUUUAUGCGGCUUAAAAUUUUCUUUAUGAUUCUAAGCACGCGUCUUAGAAUUUAUUUUCUUAUAUGUUUAAGGUAUCGUUCUUUAUUAGAUGUGGCUGAUGCAUCGGAUCUCGUCUA